This 766-nucleotide long non-coding RNA is filed under the name Monodelphis domestica (gray short-tailed opossum). Its description in RNAcentral is "lncRNA (ENSMODG00000041588.1)". Lineage: Eukaryota; Metazoa; Chordata; Mammalia; Didelphimorphia; Didelphidae. The record is from RNAcentral.
GCAUAUUCCCACUACUAAUUGGAGGACACAAUGGUGUGACAAUGAUGAUCAUGGUGACGGGAUGCUUAGUAAGACAGUAAACCACAAAAAAGUGAUAAGAAGGGAGAAAUUCGGAAAAGUCUCUAUGUGAACAGCAAGAGAAAUUCGAACACGAAUGCCUUAAAAACACAUCUAUGUCGGUAUUACCUGCUGAAGAUGGGGAUAAUAAAGUGUCAUUCUCAAGACUAAUUCUCCUUCAUUUGCACCCUCCAAAUCAGACUGUCCAUGGAGUCAGCUAUUUAGUUAUUUGCUUAAACGUGUUGACAGAAAGAACGAAAAUGGGUUGCAAAGAUGGUACACUCGAUGCUGCCCAGGACAUGGUGAUAUUGGAGUUGGUGCAGAAUCGGUUCUUCAGCCUUUAAAGGAGAGUUUCUCGGGCACGAGCUAAUGGAGGAUAUAUAUAGGCUCCCAAAUAAUGAAGAGAAUACGGUAUGAAUGGUACCUCCCUAGAAUAGUUAGAGCAGACCCAUUGGUUGUUCAUCACAGCGUAUUUCUGAUGCUUUUAACUUCGAGGGUCGCUGUGGUAUUUCUCUGAGCGCUCAGCCUCCAGCAACUGUGAGCACUCUUCUCCGCAAAGAUCGUCCCAAUUUACUUAACCCAACACUCCCAAGUGUCAAAUCUCACCAAGGUUAGAAAGGGGAUGGAAAAGGGAAAAGAAUUCAUAGAAAGGAGGUGGAAAAGGGAAAAGAACUCGAAUGAUUAAAGGCUUCUGGGAUCUUGCGCCACU